This is a non-coding RNA of Mycena polygramma, 100 nucleotides long. The record is from the annotation of a GenBank genome assembly. NCBI's taxonomy places the organism in Eukaryota, Fungi, Basidiomycota, Agaricomycetes, Agaricales, Mycenaceae.
GGCACAGUGGUGGAUAGAUGGAACCACACCUGCAGAAAAUGUCCAGUGUGCUUGCGAGGCAAUUGAGCAGGAGGAGCGUGUUCGAAUCAUGCCUGUGCCA